UACAGAGGGUGCAAGCGUUAAUCGGAGUUAUUGGGCGUAAAGGGCGCGUAGGCGGACUGAUAAGAUAGAUGUGAAAGCCCUGGGCUUAACCUGGGAAUUGCAUUUAAGACUGUCAGCCUAGAGUAGAGCAGAGGUAAGCGGAAUUUCCGGUGUAGCGGUGAAAUGCGUAGAUAUCGGAAGGAACACCAGUGGCGAAGGCGGCUUACUGGGCUCAUACUGACGCUGAGGCGCGAAAGCGUGGGGAGCGAACAGG
Molecule: unclassified non-coding RNA, 253 nt
Filed under: uncultured Gammaproteobacteria bacterium
Lineage: Bacteria; Pseudomonadati; Pseudomonadota; Gammaproteobacteria
Description: contains 16S-23S intergenic spacer region
Rfam family: Bacterial small subunit ribosomal RNA
Source: RNAcentral